GCGCGGGUAGUUUAGCUUGGUUAUAACGACACGCUCACACCGUGUAGAUCGAGGGUUCGAAACAAAUCUUUUAUUUCA
Molecule: transfer RNA, 78 nt
Filed under: Promethearchaeota archaeon
Lineage: Archaea; Promethearchaeati; Promethearchaeota
Description: Candidatus Lokiarchaeota archaeon tRNA-Val
Source: RNAcentral